RNAcentral lists this ribosomal RNA (414 nucleotides) under uncultured bacterium. Its description in RNAcentral is "bacterial SSU rRNA". It matches the Rfam family "Bacterial small subunit ribosomal RNA", at positions 28 to 405 of the family's 1533-position model. The record is from RNAcentral.
GAUGAACGCUGGCGGCAUGCCUAAGACAUGCAAGUCGAACGAGACGGCCCAAUGAAAAUGGAGUGCUUGCACAAAGUUGGAUUUGGAUUCCCGUCUAGUGGCGCAAGGGUGAGUAACACGUGGGUAAUCUACCUUCGAGUCUGGAAUAACAGUUAGAAAUGAUUGCUAAUGCCGGAUGAUAUAUAGGAAGACAUACUACUUAUAUUAAAAGGGGCCUCAAAGCCUCGCUUGAAGAUGAGCCUGCGCCGUAUUAGUUAGUUGGUGGGUAACGGCCUACCAAGACGAUGAUGCGUAGCCGACCUGAGAGGGUGAUCGGCCACACUGGGACUGAGACACGGCCCAGACUCCUACGGGAGACAGCAGUUAGGAAUAUUGCGCAAUGGGGGAAACCCUGACGCAGCAACGCCGCGUGAA